Molecule: ribosomal RNA, 164 nt
Filed under: uncultured bacterium
Lineage: Bacteria
Description: partial 16S ribosomal RNA
Rfam family: Bacterial small subunit ribosomal RNA
Source: RNAcentral
UAGGGAAUCUUCCACAAUGGGCGCAAGCCUGAUGGAGCAACACCGCGUGAGUGAAGAAGGGUUUCGGCUCGUAAAGCUCUGUUGUUAAAGAAGAACACGUAUGAGAGUAACUGUUCAUACGUUGACGGUAUUUAACCAGAAAGUCACGGCUAACUACGUCCCAG